Molecule: long non-coding RNA, 3153 nt
Organism: Asterias rubens (European starfish)
Lineage: Eukaryota; Metazoa; Echinodermata; Asteroidea; Forcipulatida; Asteriidae
Exons: 2
Source: RefSeq, a predicted model, not a curated record
UCCAACCAUAUGCACGGUUACAACACUUUUUAUAGACCAACUCGUCCGAUCCAAGGCAACGUGUUCCUUUAAGCGACUGAGAAUAUUUUUGCUUCCACCUGGACAAGAUUGCCAGUUCAAAUGAUAGGUCACUCCCAGCUCUCGUUGGUACCCAUUUGUACACCUGGGUGUAGAGAAGCAAUUAUGGUAGAGUACCUUGCUCAAGAGUCAUCACAGAUGAAGGCUAAAUGUCAUUGAAAUCAUUUUAUUGUUUUUUGAACAACAUGAUCUAAUUACCCUAUUGAUUGGUAAUUGAGAAACCUAGACUUGAUCAGUCUAUCUUUCGGGCAGCUUGAUGAUUCUUAUUAAAGAAAUGUACACAAAUAUUGAUUUUCUUUCCUUUGUGUUUCUUUGUUUAUACCUUUUAUCGGAAACUAAGACCGACAGUGUGUUCUCGGUCAACCACAGAGAGGCCAUUUAGAUGUGUGAGGAAUACCCAGGGGGGAAACCCACGCAACCAGGUAGGGAAUGAAACACCAUUUCUAAAUGCAAGGCUGCACUGGUCCAAGGUGGGAUUCGAACCAGUGUUCACAAAAGGCAUAGAAAGAAACUACUGAUCAACCUGAUCAAAUUGAUGAUACUUAAUACUAAAAGGGGAAUUGGCUGUUGCAAACUGCUAACCAACCAAAAGGACAUAUAAUAUACAUGCAAAACAAAUUAAACGGCCUGAAGUUUCAACCCCAGCUGAGUCUUUCUCGAAGGCUAAAUGACCUUAAGAUGAUAGAUCCAUAAUAUGGAAUGUCAAUUCGGAUGUCAAGGGGGAGGAUGGUUAUCGGCGGACAAAGUUCUUUCUGAAAGCUCAAAUUUAAUCAUUUCACACCAAACUAAACAACAGAUCAAGAUGUGGAAUAAUUUAACAGCUGCUUUCACUUUAUAAAAUACAUUGUACAAUAAUAAUAAUAAUAACUUUCGAUUUAUAUAGCGCCUAAUAAUUAGCAAUAAUUAUCUAAGCGCUUUACAAAUAAUGGAUAAUUACACACAAAUUGGUGUACAUGAAACAAAAAAUAAUAUGCAACUUUUAAAUCCAUUGAAUUUAGAUAAAAACAGCAAUGUGAAGUAAUAAAACUAUGAUGUACACAGCAUUAAUAAGAAUGAUAACUGUUCACAUUUAUCUUUCAGGCACUGAUCCAAUCUAUAUUCUAUAUACAUAGACCUGAACCAAAUUUGAACCAAAAUUAAUAUUCUUUAUCCCCGAAUGCAAAUUGCCAUCUAUUCACUUUGAUGUUACUGCUGACUUUCAAAUUCAGUGUUAGCCCAGACUUCAUACAAAUAGGCAAAAGUGAGAAAUCCUUAAGUCAAGCGAACUGCACGCUUGCUAAAUUAUCUUGCUGACCCUAUGUUCAUUGAAUUGAAUUGAAUCCAAUUGCAUUGAAACGCCCUCCUGGAGCAACAUCAGAAAAAAAAUUUUCUGGUAAAAUGUUCAACUCAUAGCACGCACACUGUUUUUGAGGUUGCUUGCUCUAUGUUCUGACACCCCUAUGUUCUGGUUAUCCCUUGUGGUCUACACACAAAGGUUACAGUUUGAAAUACAGUUCUACAACUGUUGCACACAAAAAAAUCAAUCUUAAACUUUGUUCAAACAUAUGUGGGUAGUUACUGCACACUUCUUUUGGCACUUGACAUUUAUAAGGAAAACAUUAUUUAUAACUGUUUCAAGUCAAGAUCCUUUUUAAAAAGCUCUGUGGUGGUUUUCAUUAAGAGUUGGGACUAGUCUUAUCUCGAGUUACUAGUCCUAACUUAGGACUAGCUGUACACUUUUGAUAUCUCUUACGAGUCCUAACUCUUUGUGAAAUCGACCCCUGAUUACUUACGAUAAGGAACAAGUUUGGGAUGAAUCAAGAAGAUGGUGGAAUUCCAAGAACAUCUCUUAGAAACUUGUUGAUUCCUUUAAGACAACCAGAGCAAAAACUGACGAAAAGUUAUUUACUAACCCAGCUUUACUAACUACAAGAUAUAUUCCGAUGGUUACACAGCAAAACACCUCAUAUUGUUAUAAAUCCAUAGUGUAGAGGUAUGAAUGCUUAGUUAUAAAUGUAUUUACAAUAAUGGACACUAUCUGCUAACUAAAACUGAAGUUCAGGAAGAAAAAAAUAGCUCAAAAUAAGUGCUUACAAGUUUUUUAAGAAGUGAUUACGAUUCAACAUUUUAGGCAGGAAUAUUCAGCAUUAAUGAGAAAGCCCUCUUAUUAUUACACAAUAAUCGUUGCUGGGCUCAAUUCCACAAAGCACUAAUAUAUAAGACAAACUUUAAGAUUAGUUGUCAAAAAUUAUUGUUAGAAAGUAUCACGCUAAAUUGCUUAGUAAAAUAUGAUGUCACAGUUCAAGCAUAUUGUGACAACACUAAGCAAUUAAGAGUGAUGCACAAUUAAGAUCAAUCUUAGCCCUUUGUGAGAUCGGCCCCUGUAGGUGUAUAGACCACGACUUGGACAUUCCAGAGCCUUUCCAGCAGGCAAAUUACUACACAGGUCAUAUGGAAAACUUUAUGUAGUAAUUUCUACAAAUUCAACAGCUGAAGAAAGUUUGAGAUGUCUCUUUCUUUAUAUCAAAAGUAGAUACAAAUCAGACAGUCUCCAUCUCCAUAAAUCUCCAUAAAGUUUAUGUUUUCUUCAAUCGAGCUGUCUGGCUGUGUACUAAUCGUGCCUGCAGCAACUCCAUGAUUGGUUGCUCUUUUAAACAUGUGAUGUCACAGGCAGUCACAUGGUGUAUUACCCUUGUCAAUCUCUUAUGUUACACAACAUUGCAACAAAAUGAAAGCUCUUUUAUAAUAGAGUAAUCUUGGUUAAUAAAUCAAUAACAUUUUCUGAGUAAUAAAUAAUGUUUCAAAAAGCAAACAAAUUAAAUUAAAGAUAUUGGUCUUUUUUUUAAGGAAAACGUUCUUAGAAACCACAUUAACAACAUUGUAACUUUUCUACAUUUUUAUAUAUCAACAGAUAUACAAAGCUAUCUUAAUUGACUUGUUUAACUAUUACCUUUAGUGUUGCCAUCUGUUUUUUGUUUUUUUAACGUAGACAAAUAUUGAUGUGUAAAAUGGAGUCCGACCAAAACAAAUUCAAAACCCAAAGUGUACCUUGGUUUUGGAGCGAGAUAUGAUAUUUCUAGUUAUAGGGAAGGUAUA